RNAcentral lists this ribosomal RNA (444 nucleotides) under uncultured bacterium. Its description in RNAcentral is "bacterial SSU rRNA". It matches the Rfam family "Bacterial small subunit ribosomal RNA", at positions 355 to 796 of the family's 1533-position model. The record is from RNAcentral.
UAAGGAAUAUUGGUCAAUGGACGGAAGUCUGAACCAGCCAUGCCGCGUGGAGGAUGAAGGUCCUCUGGAUUGUAAACUUCUUUUAUCUGGGAAGAAAUGGUUGCUUUCUAGCGAUCUUGACGGUACCAGAUGAAUAAGCACCGGCUAACUCCGUGCCAGCAGCCGCGGUAAUACGGAGGGUGCAAGCGUUAUCCGGAUUCACUGGGUUUAAAGGGUGCGUAGGCUGAAUAGUAAGUCCGUUGUGAAAUCUCUGAGCUUAACUCGGAAAUUGCGGUGGAUACUAUUAUUCUUGAAUACUGUUGAGGUUAGCGGAAUAUGUCAUGUAGCGGUGAAAUGCAUAGAUAUGACAUAGAACACCAAUUGCGAAGGCAGCUGGCUAAACAGAUAUUGACGCUGAGGCACGAAAGCGUGGGGAUCAAACAGGAUUAGAUACCCCGGUAGUCC